RNAcentral lists this ribosomal RNA (253 nucleotides) under uncultured bacterium. RNAcentral's name for it is "partial 16S ribosomal RNA". It matches the Rfam family "Bacterial small subunit ribosomal RNA", at positions 524 to 776 of the family's 1533-position model. The record is from RNAcentral.
UACGAAGGGGGCUAGCGUUGCUCGGAAUGACUGGGCGUAAAGGGUGCGUAGGCGGUCGGGUAAGUCUGAUGUGAAAUCUCACAGCUUAACUGUGAAACUGCAUUGGAUACUAUCCGGCUAGAGGAAUGGAGGGGAGACUGGAAUACUUGGUGUAGCAGUGAAAUGCGUAGAUAUCAAGUGGAACACCAGUGGCGAAGGCGAGUCUCUGGACAUUUCCUGACGCUGAGGCACGAAAGCCAGGGGAGCAAACGGG